This 344-nucleotide ribosomal RNA is filed under the name uncultured bacterium. Its description in RNAcentral is "bacterial SSU rRNA". It matches the Rfam family "Bacterial small subunit ribosomal RNA", at positions 1 to 334 of the family's 1533-position model. The record is from RNAcentral.
CGCUCGACAUCAGAGUUUGAUCCUGGCUCAGGAUGAACGCUAGCUACAGGCUUAACACAUGCAAGUCGAGGGGCAGCAUGGGCUUAGCUUGCUAAGCCCGAUGGCGACCGGCGCACGGGUGAGUAACACGUAUCCAACCUUCCGGUAACUCCGGUAUAGCCUUUCGAAAGAAAGAUUAAUCCCGGAUAGUAUGGUGAUUCCGCAUGGUUUCUCCAUUAAAGGAUUCCGGUUACCGAUGGGGAUGCGUUCCAUUAGUUUGUUGGUAAGGUAACGGCUUACCAAGACUACGAUGGAUAGGGGGACUGAGAGGUUGACCCCCACACUGGUACUGAGAUACGGACCAG